RNAcentral lists this long non-coding RNA (226 nucleotides) under Mytilus galloprovincialis (Mediterranean mussel). The record is from RNAcentral. Lineage: Eukaryota; Metazoa; Mollusca; Bivalvia; Mytilida; Mytilidae.
GAAAAACCAAAAAAUCUUGAAAAGACAGUUUGUAUCAGUUCAAACUGUAUGUAACUGACAAAAAUCAGUCUGUAAAAGAGAGACGAAAGAAAUCAGAGGAACAGUCAAACUCAUAAAUCGAAAAUAAACUGACAACGCCAAGGCCAAAAAUGAAAUAGACAAACAGACAAAAAAUAGUACACAUGACACAACAUAGAAAACUAAAGAAUAAACAACACGAACCUCA